GAGUUUGAUCCUGGCUCAGGACGAACGCUGGCGGCGUGCCUAACACAUGCAAGUCGAACGAGAAUCUGUGGAACGGAGCUUCGGCGAAGGGAAGCAGAGGACAGUGGCGAACGGGUGAGUAACGCGUGAGGAACCUGCCUUUCAGAGGGGGACAACAGCUGGAAACGGCUGCUAAUACCGCAUAAGCGCACGAGGAGACAUCUCCUAGUGUGAAAAACUCCGGUGGUAUAGGAUGGACCCGCGUUGGAUUAGCCAGUUGGCAGGGUAACGGCCUACCAAAGCGACGAUCCAUAGCCGGCCUGAGAGGGUGAACGGCCACAUUGGGACUGAGACACGGCCCAGACUCCUACGGGAGGCAGCAGUGGGGAAUAUUGCACAAUGGGGGAAACCCUGAUGCAGCAACGCCGCGUGAGUGAAGAAGUAUUUCGGUAUGUAAAGCUCUAUCAGCAGGGAAGAUAAUGACGGUACCUGACUAAGAAGCUCCGGCUAAAUACGUGCCAGCCGCCGCGGUAAUUC
This 516-nucleotide ribosomal RNA is filed under the name uncultured bacterium. RNAcentral describes it as "bacterial SSU rRNA". It matches the Rfam family "Bacterial small subunit ribosomal RNA", at positions 9 to 526 of the family's 1533-position model. The record is from RNAcentral.